CCCUGGGUAGCGCAAAUGGUGAAGCGCUCGGCUGCUAACCGAAAGGCUGGAAGUUUGACUCCACCCAGAGA
Molecule: transfer RNA, 71 nt
Filed under: Loxodonta africana (African savanna elephant)
Lineage: Eukaryota; Metazoa; Chordata; Mammalia; Proboscidea; Elephantidae
Rfam family: tRNA
About the family: Transfer RNA (tRNA) molecules are approximately 80 nucleotides in length. Their secondary structure includes four short double-helical elements and three loops (D, anti-codon, and T loops).
Source: Rfam by way of RNAcentral